Long non-coding RNA from Fundulus heteroclitus (mummichog), 500 nucleotides. RefSeq lists it as uncharacterized. NCBI's taxonomy places the organism in Eukaryota, Metazoa, Chordata, Actinopteri, Cyprinodontiformes, Fundulidae. The transcript has 4 exons. The record is from RefSeq and is a predicted model, not a curated record.
AGUCAGCAUCUCACCGGAAUGAUGAUAACCAUCUUCAUGACCUUUACAGCUUUUGCUGCAGCCGGUCUAAUAAAAGAACCCUUUGAGUGCAUUUUUUCUGACUCUGCUGGAAAUCAGAAGUGUUAUGGAGCAGAAGGACAGCAACUUAUUUUCCAUCUAACAAAUGCAAACAAUAGUGCAAUUACAUUGUUAAAGGAUGGAGUCUACAGAAUUUUAAAGACAGACAAGAAUGGGACAAUGACUGUGAAUAAGGAAUAUGUAAAUCAGUUUGAGCAAAUCCAACCUGGAACAUUUAGACUGGGUAACGCCAUGAAGAAACAUUCUGGUGUGUACUCUCUUGAAGAAUACGGAACUGAUGGCGCAAAACAUAGAGAAGUUCAAGUCUCCCUAAAAAUAAAAAGGCCAGUGUCAAAACCAGCAAUAUCUGAAAGCUGUUUUUCACCUGAACAGAAGACAGUCACAUGUUCUUCUUACGGAGAUGAAGUGGAGUUCUUUCUGGC